Molecule: non-coding RNA, 20 nt
Filed under: Rattus norvegicus (Norway rat)
Lineage: Eukaryota; Metazoa; Chordata; Mammalia; Rodentia; Muridae
Source: RNAcentral
UUUUAAGAAGGUGUCUAGGG